UACGUAGGGUGCAAGCGUUGUCCGGAAUUAUUGGGCGUAAAGAGCUCGUAGGCGGUUUGUCGCGUCUGCUGUGAAAACCCGAGGCUCAACCUCGGCCUGCAGUGGGUACGGGCAGACGUAGAGUGCGGUAGGGAUGAUUGGAAUCCUGGUGUAAGCGGUGGAAUGCGCAGAUAAUCGAGGAGGACACCCGUAGCGAAGCGGCACUCGUGGCCGGAACUGACGCUGAGGAGCGAAAGCGUGGGGGGAGCGAACAGGAUUAGACUACCCGG
This 269-nucleotide ribosomal RNA is filed under the name uncultured bacterium. RNAcentral's name for it is "partial 16S ribosomal RNA". It matches the Rfam family "Bacterial small subunit ribosomal RNA", at positions 524 to 790 of the family's 1533-position model. The record is from RNAcentral.